Molecule: ribosomal RNA, 173 nt
Filed under: marine eubacterium 'DDGE band 6'
Lineage: Bacteria; Pseudomonadati; Pseudomonadota; Alphaproteobacteria; Rhodobacterales; Paracoccaceae
Description: 16S ribosomal RNA
Rfam family: Bacterial small subunit ribosomal RNA
Source: RNAcentral
CUCGAUACUGACGCUGAGGUACGAAAGUGUGGGGAGCAAACAGGAUUAGAUACCCUGGUAGUCCACACCGUAAACGAUGAAUGCCAGUCGUCGGGCAGUAUACUGUUCGGUGACACACCUAACGGAUUAAGCAUUCCGCCUGGGGAGUACGGUCGCAAGAUUAAAACUCAAAG